RNAcentral lists this ribosomal RNA (387 nucleotides) under uncultured bacterium. Its description in RNAcentral is "bacterial SSU rRNA". It matches the Rfam family "Bacterial small subunit ribosomal RNA", at positions 29 to 417 of the family's 1533-position model. The record is from RNAcentral.
AUUGAACGCUGGCGGCAUGCCUUACACAUGCAAGUCGAACGGCAGCACGGGAGCAAUCCUGGUGGCGAGUGGCGAACGGGUGAGUAAUACAUCGGAACGUGCCCUGUAGUGGGGGAUAACCCGGCGAAAGCCGGACUAAUACCGCAUGAGACCUGAGGGUGAAAGCGGGGGAUCGAAAGACCUUGCGCUAUGGGAGCGGCCGAUGUCAGAUUAGCUAGUUGGNGGGGUAAAGGCCUACCAAGGCGACGAUCUGUAGCUGGUCUGAGAGGACGACCAGCCACACUGGGACUGAGACACGGCCCAGACUCCUACGGGAGGCAGCAGUGGGGAAUUUUGGACAAUGGGCGCAAGCCUGAUCCAGCCAUGCCGCGUGCGGGAAGAAGGCCU